CCAAUAGCGUAUAUUAAAGUUGCUGCAGUUAAAAAGCUCGUAGUUGAAUUUCGGGACCAAUAUGUCGGUCGUGCCUCGGUACGUACUGGCAUCGUUGGUUUCUCCCUUCUGACGAACCAUGAUGUCAUUUAUUUGGUGUCAUGGGGAAUCAGGACUGUUACUUUGAAAAAAUUAGAGUGUUUAAAGCAGGCUCACGCUUG
RNAcentral lists this ribosomal RNA (200 nucleotides) under uncultured Glomus. Its description in RNAcentral is "partial small subunit ribosomal RNA". It matches the Rfam family "Eukaryotic small subunit ribosomal RNA", at positions 591 to 797 of the family's 1831-position model. The record is from RNAcentral. Lineage: Eukaryota; Fungi; Glomeromycota; Glomeromycetes; Glomerales; Glomeraceae.